GUGAGGAAUAUUGGGCAAUGGGCGAAAGCCUGACCCAGCCACGCCGCGUGAGUGAUGAAGGCCUUCGGGUUGUAAAGCUCUGUGGGGAGGGAAGAAAAAGCGGGAGAGUAACUGCUCUCGUGUUGACGGUACCUCCUUAGCAAGCACCGGCUAACUCUGUGCCAGCAGCCGCGGUAAUACAGAGGGUGCAAACGUUGCUCGGAAUUACUGGGCGUAAAGCGCGUGUAGGCUGACAUGCAAGUCGGGUGUGAAAUCCCAGGGCUCAACCUUGGAACUGCACUCGAAACUGCACGUCUGGAGUACUGGAGAGGGAAGCGGAAUUCCGGGUGUAGAGGUGAAAUUCGUAGAUAUCCGGAGGAACACCAGUGGCGAAGGCGGCUUCCUGGACAGUAACUGACGCUGAGACGCGAAAGCGUGGGGAGCAAACAGGAUUAGAAACCCCAGUAGUCC
RNAcentral lists this ribosomal RNA (450 nucleotides) under uncultured bacterium. Its description in RNAcentral is "partial 16S ribosomal RNA". It matches the Rfam family "Bacterial small subunit ribosomal RNA", at positions 354 to 796 of the family's 1533-position model. The record is from RNAcentral.